Molecule: ribosomal RNA, 497 nt
Filed under: uncultured bacterium
Lineage: Bacteria
Description: partial 16S ribosomal RNA
Rfam family: Bacterial small subunit ribosomal RNA
Source: RNAcentral
GAUGAACGCUGGCGGCGUGCCUAAUACAUGCAAGUCGAGCGAACAGACGAGGAGCUUGCUUCUCUGAUGUUAGCGGCGGACGGGUGAGUAACACGUGGAUAACCUACCUAUAAGACUGGGAUAACUUCGGGAAACCGGAGCUAAUACCGGAUAAUAUAUUGAACCGCAUGGUUCAAUAGUGAAAGACGGUCUUGCUGUCACUUAUAGAUGGAUCCGCGCUGCAUUAGCUAGUUGGUAAGGUAACGGCUUACCAAGGCAACGAUGCAUAGCCGACCUGAGAGGGUGAUCGGCCACACUGGAACUGAGACACGGUCCAGACUCCUACGGGAGGCAGCAGUAGGGAAUCUUCCGCAAUGGGCGAAAGCCUGACGGAGCAACGCCGCGUGAGUGAUGAAGGUCUUCGGAUCGUAAAACUCUGUUAUUAGGGAAGAACAAAUGUGUAAGUAACUAUGCACGUCUUGACGGUACCUAAUCAGAAAGCCACGGCUAACUACGUG